GCGGGCGUCGUAUAGUGGCUAUUACCCGGCCCUUCCAAGGCCGUGACGUGGGUUCGAUUCCCAUCGCCCGCUCAA
RNAcentral lists this transfer RNA (75 nucleotides) under Candidatus Parcubacteria bacterium. RNAcentral describes it as "tRNA-Gly". It matches the Rfam family "tRNA". From Rfam's summary of the family: Transfer RNA (tRNA) molecules are approximately 80 nucleotides in length. Their secondary structure includes four short double-helical elements and three loops (D, anti-codon, and T loops). Further hydrogen bonds mediate the characteristic L-shaped molecular structure. tRNAs have two regions of fundamental functional importance: the anti-codon, which is responsible for specific mRNA codon recognition, and the 3' end, to which the tRNAs corresponding amino acid is attached (by aminoacyl-tRNA synthetases). tRNAs cope with the degeneracy of the genetic code in two manners: having more than one tRNA (with a specific anti-codon) for a particular amino acid; and 'wobble' base-pairing, i.e. permitting non-standard base-pairing at the 3rd anti-codon position. The record is from RNAcentral. Lineage: Bacteria; Candidatus Parcubacteria.